Molecule: non-coding RNA, 89 nt
Organism: Mycena latifolia
Lineage: Eukaryota; Fungi; Basidiomycota; Agaricomycetes; Agaricales; Mycenaceae
Source: the annotation of a GenBank genome assembly
GGCUUGGUAGCGUAGUGGUAACGCGCUCCGUGUUACUAAUUUAUAUAUCAGUUGACGGAAAGUCCGGAGUUCGAUCCUCCGUCAAGCCA